Molecule: ribosomal RNA, 490 nt
Filed under: uncultured bacterium
Lineage: Bacteria
Description: partial 16S ribosomal RNA
Rfam family: Bacterial small subunit ribosomal RNA
Source: RNAcentral
AGUGAACGCUGGCGGCAGGCCUAACACAUGCAAGUCGAACGGCAGCACAAGAGAGCUUGCUCUCUGGGUGGCGAGUGGCGGACGGGUGAGGAAUGCAUCGGAAUCUGCCCAUUUGUGGGGGAUAACCUCGGGAAACCGGGACUAAUACCGCAUACGACCUACGGGUGAAAGCAGGGGAUCUUCGGACCUUGCGCAGAUGGAUGAGCCGAUGCCGGAUUAGCUAGUUGGAGGGGUAAAGACCCACCAAGGCGACGAUCCGUAGCUGGUCUGAGAGGAUGAUCAGCCACACUGGGACUGAGACACGGCCCAGACUCCUACGGGAGGCAGCAGUGGGGAAUAUUGGACAAUGGGCGCAAGCCUGAUCCAGCCAUGCCGCGUGUGUGAAGAAGGCCUUCGGGUUGUAAAGCACUUUUGUUGGGAAAGAAAAGCAGCCGGUUAAUACCCGGUUGUCAUGACGGUACCCAAAGAAUAAGCACCGGCUAACUUCGUG